CCUACGGGAGGCUGCAGUGGGGAAUAUUGGACAAUGGGGGCAACCCUGAUCCAGCCAUGCCGCGUGUGUGAAGAAGGCCCUCGGGUUGUAAAGCACUUUCAGUGAGGAAGAACGCCUGGUGGUUAAUACCCAUCAGGAAAGACAUCACUCACAGAAGAAGCACCGGCUAACUCCGUGCCAGCAGCCGCGGUAAUACGGAGGGUGCGAGCGUUAAUCGGAAUUACUGGGCGUAAAGCGCGCGUAGGUGGCUUGAUAAGCCGGUUGUGAAAGCCCCGGGCUCAACCUGGGAACGGCAUCCGGAACUGUCAAGCUAGAGUGCAGGAGAGGAAGGUAGAAUUCCCGGUGUAGCGGUGAAAUGCGUAGAGAUCGGGAGGAAUAGCAGUGGCGAAGGCGGCCUUCUGGACUGACACUGACACUGAGGUGCGAAAGCGUGGGUAGCAAACAGGAUUAGAUACCCGAGUAGUC
Molecule: ribosomal RNA, 465 nt
Filed under: Vreelandella stevensii
Lineage: Bacteria; Pseudomonadati; Pseudomonadota; Gammaproteobacteria; Oceanospirillales; Halomonadaceae
Description: partial 16S ribosomal RNA
Rfam family: Bacterial small subunit ribosomal RNA
Source: RNAcentral